Long non-coding RNA from Sphaerodactylus townsendi, 725 nucleotides. RefSeq lists it as uncharacterized. Lineage: Eukaryota; Metazoa; Chordata; Lepidosauria; Squamata; Sphaerodactylidae. The transcript is spliced from 3 exons. The record is from RefSeq and is a predicted model, not a curated record.
GAAAGUUAAAGCAAAAAAUGGUGAGAAACAGCAAGAGGGAAAGAAAGAGACAGAGAAAGAGCAGGAGCCAUGACUUGGGGAGCUAAUUACUCAAAUUUGAUGGCACAUUCUGUCAUUUGGCAUUCCUGUUCUGAAGCUGGUCUGCUGAGCUGGUCACAUUCGGUUUCCCUAAUUGUUUUGUGAGUGCCAAGAUGGCAGUAGACACUUCUCUGCUGAACGCCUCUCCCACAGGACACUGAGCACUGAGGAAGAACAAAAAAAUGGAGUCGAUGCAGGAUGAUGCAGCCAAGUAACAUCAAACGGGCCCCAACAACUCUUCCUCUGGUGCAGAGAGAUUCUAAUCAGUUCAAGCCUUUAAGAUGCAGCAGGAAGGCUGAUUUAUGCUAAGUAGAAAUAGGUAGAUACUGAAGCUGGAACAUCCGUAACGGCUUUCGAGACAUUUAGACAGCCAUCAGACUAAGUGAAUCUAUUACAUUUAUCAUGUCAGUUUUGAAACAAUGAUGGUGGUAUUACUAUCAAACCUUCAAUAUUUUGCUCUAUACAGCACUGACAUUUUCAUUUCACUGCCACAUACCUCUGCUACAGGAACCCUUCUAUUUUCUAUAGGAAGCCUGUCCAAGUUGCAUGGUAAAAUGAACACCUACUACCCUGUUUCCCCAAAUAUAAGACAUCCCCUGAAAAUAAGACAUAGUAGAGGUUUUGCUGAAGUGCAAAAUAUAAGGCAU